RNAcentral lists this long non-coding RNA (201 nucleotides) under Elaeis guineensis (African oil palm). RNAcentral's name for it is "long non-coding RNA (EGUI_LNC000999)". The record is from RNAcentral. Lineage: Eukaryota; Viridiplantae; Streptophyta; Magnoliopsida; Arecales; Arecaceae.
UCACUCUACUUCCUUUACUUCUUCUGGGCCUUUGGGAAGAUAUUGUCUUUUGUUCCUCAACGGGAAAAUUCAUUUAUUUCAAUAUUCCGGCUCUUUUUUUCUCAGAGUCAUGCCGUUAUGCCUCCAUUCAACAAUUCAUGCAGUUUAUUCCAUACUCUACAUAUUGGUGGUGCCUUAUUUCUGUUACCCUUUCGCACCCGU